GUUUACCUGGCUCAGUUGGCAGAGCGUGAGACUCAAGGUCCUGGGUUCGAAUCCUUCGUUGGGCA
Molecule: non-coding RNA, 65 nt
Organism: Podarcis lilfordi (Lilford's wall lizard)
Lineage: Eukaryota; Metazoa; Chordata; Lepidosauria; Squamata; Lacertidae
Source: the annotation of a GenBank genome assembly